AUGAGCACGUCGAGGAAUCCGCUGGUCGUCGGGAACAUCGUCGGAGAAAUCAUCGACCCCUUUGAUGCUUCGGCGGUGCUGAGGCUGUUCUAUAACAACCGCGAGAUGACCAGUGGGUCUGGGCUGAGGCCGUCGCAGGUGGCCAGGGAGCCGACCGUCCAGAUAACCGGCUCCCGGGGGCGCAAUGAAACAUCACUAUACACGCUGGUGAUGGUGGAUCCUGAUGCACCUAGUCCAAGCAACCCUUCCAAAAGGGAGUACCUCCAUUGGUUAGUGAUGGACAUACCCGAAGGAGGUGAUGUCAGUCAUGGAACUGAGGUGGUGGCGUACGAGAGCCCGCAGCCCAAGGCGGGGAUCCACCGCCUGGCGUUCAUCGUGUUCCGGCAGACGGUGAGGCAGGUGAUCUACGCGCCGGGGUGGCGCCCCAACUUCAACACCAGGGAUUUCGCGGCGUGCUACUGCCUUGGCGCGCCGGUCGCCGCCGCCUACUUCAACUGCCAGAGGGAGGGCGGCUGCGGUGGCCGGAGGUGCAGCUGA
Molecule: ribosomal RNA, 537 nt
Filed under: Triticum aestivum (bread wheat)
Lineage: Eukaryota; Viridiplantae; Streptophyta; Magnoliopsida; Poales; Poaceae
Description: partial small subunit ribosomal RNA
Source: RNAcentral